RNAcentral lists this long non-coding RNA (4712 nucleotides) under Salmo salar (Atlantic salmon). RNAcentral describes it as "lncRNA (ENSSSAG00000089029.1)". Lineage: Eukaryota; Metazoa; Chordata; Actinopteri; Salmoniformes; Salmonidae. The record is from RNAcentral.
ACAACGGUGUGAUGGACAGCAGAUACAGCCACAACACUUACCUAUAGACAACGGUGUGAUGGACAGCGGAUUCAGUCACAACACUUACCUAUAGACAACGGUGUGAUGGACAGCAGAUACAGCCACAACACUUACCUAUGGACAACGGUGUGAUGGACAGCGGAUUCAGCCACAACACUUACCUAUGGACAACGGUGUGAUGGACAGCGGAUUCAGCCACAACACUUACCUAUGGACAACAGUGUGAUGGACAGCACAUACAGCCACAACACUUACCUAUGGACAACGGUGUGAUGGACAGCGGAUUCAGCCACAACACUUACCUAUGGACAACAGUGUGAUGGGGAGCGGAUUCAGCCACAACACUUACCUAUGGACAACGGUGUGAUGGACAGCGGAUUCAGCCACAACACUUACCUAUAGACAACGGUGUGAUGGACAGCAGAUACAGCCACAACACUUACCUAUAGACAACGAUGUGAUGGACAGCAGAUACAGCCACAACACUUACCUAUGGACAACAGUGUGAUGGGGAGCGGAUUCAGCCACAACACUUACCUAUAGACAACGGUGUGAUGGACAGCGGAUUCAGCCACAACACUUACCUAUAGACAACGGUGUGAUGGGGAGCGGAUUCAGCCACAACACUUACCUAUAGACAACGGUGUGAUGGGGAGCGGAUUCAGCCACAACACUUACCUAUAGACAACGGUGUGAUGGACAGCAGAUUCAGCCACAACACUUACCUAUAGACAACGGUGUGAUGGACAGCAUAUUCAGCCACAACACUUACCUAUAGACAACGGUGUGAUGGGGAAGUGGUGUGGAGUUCUACACCCUUUCAGUAAACAUCACCUUCAAAGCCAUCUGCUAUUAAACCUUCACAACAGGAAGAAGAGUGGAAGUCACCACCACGACAAUAACAGGGUUAUGUCCCAAAGUGCACCCUACUCCCAUACGCAGUGCACUACGUGUAAUAAGAGGAUCUGGUUAAAAGUAGUGCCCUCAUUUAGGGAAUAGGGUGCCGUUUGGGAUGCAGAUCAAGGUGUCUAUUCCACCUCUUUCCAAUGUCCUACAGGGUAUUACUAUGCUGAUAAUAAGUACAUACUAUAUUGAGAAAUGAAUCAAUGUUUUACAAUCUAUUUGUGUUAUAGCUUGUAUCUCUCCCAUGUGUUCCAAUUGACGAGCCACUUUAACUGACGCCUGUCUCUGAGUUAAUGAAUGAAUAGUGUAUUGUCCACACCUGUCUCUAAGUUAAUGAAUGAAUUGUGUGUUGUCCACACCUGUCUCUGAGUUAAUUAAUGAAUUGUGUGAUGUCCACACCUGUCUCUGAGUUAAUGAAUGAAUUGUGUGAUGUCCACGCCUGUCUCUGAGUUAAUGAAUGAAUUGUGUAUUGUCCACACCUGUCUCUGAGUUAAUGAAUGAAUCGUGUGAUGUCCACACCUGUCUCUGAGUUAAUGAAUGAAUUGUGUGUUGUCCACACCUGUCUCUGAGUUAAUUAAUGAAUUGUGUGAUGUCCACACCUGUCUCUGAGUUAAUGAAUGAAUUGUGUGUUGUCCACACCUGUCUCUGAGUUAAUGAAUGAAUCGUGUGAUGUCCACACCUGUCUCUGAGUUAAUGCAAUACUGUGAUCCAUUAAAGAAUCAAUAGUCCAUUUCCACCAUCACAAUCUUCUAUCAAAACAUUUCACUUCCUUAUUGUCAUAUGAUAGCACUAUGUUUAUCUACUCUUCUGAAAUCAUCUGCAUUUCCUGUGAUUUGAUUGGUCUACCUCCCGUGAUCGUCACCAAUGCCCUCCCACCGUUCUACCUUGGCCACUGUGCUGUGGUGAAACAGGAAGUUAGUUGUCUAGUCAGCGUGGGUCUUUGUAUUGACUGAGAGGGGCUACACCACAGUAGAUAGAUGACAGAUCUGAGAGACACCCUGAAACACAGUCAUGGAGCUCAGCUCACCUUACGCUCUUUUAAUCCUCUGUUGGGGCGAAGAGCACGAUCUGUCAUGGAGACACACGCACACGCACACGCACACACACACACACACACACACACACACACACACACACACACACACACACACACACACACACACACACGUGUGUUGAACAUGAAAGACUGAAGCCAUGAAUAGACAAGAUUCCCCUGUUGUUUCUCUCUGACCUGUGUUGUUAAUGCCAUGUUCCAGGUGUUAUGCCCAGCGAGGGGGAAGGCUCUGAUGUAACACACAGCCCAGCGAGGGACAAGGCUCUGAUGUAACACACAGCCCAGCGAGGGACAAGGCUCUGAUGUAACACACAGCCCAGCGAGGGACAAGGCUCUGAUGUAACACACAGCCCAGCGAGGGACAAGGCCCUGAUGUAACACACAGCCCAGCGAGGGACAAGGCCCUGAUGUAACACACAGCCCAGCGAGGGACAAGGCUCUGAUGUAACACACAGCCCAACGAGGGACAAGGCCCUGAUGUAACACACAGCCCAGCGAGGGACAAGGCCCUGAUGUAACACACAGCCCAGCGAGGGACAAGGCCCUGAUGUAACACACAGCCCAGCGAGGGACAAGGCCCUGAUGUAACACACAGCCCAGCGAGGGACAAGGCCCUGAUGUAACACACAGCCCAGCGAGGGACAAGGCCCUGAUGUAACACACAACUCUCAGCGUCUCAAAAAAAUCUAUUAACUUCUUAAGGAUCUGACACUUAAAAAAUAAAUUAAAAAAUGUCCUAAAAUGACGUAGCCAAAUCUAACUGGCUGUAGCUCUGGACCUGAAGUAAGGAUAUGCAUAUUAUUGAUACCACUUGAAAGGAAAUACUUUGAAGUCUCAAAAAGCUGUCUCCCUUUUCUAUGAAGAGCACCGUGAGUUGUGACACGGGUCGUUGAGAUGGCAACUGAGAUUUAAUAACAGCGCCUGAUAAAAAUACUUUUUACUGUUAGGGAGGACCUGUUGGUCCCUCCAUUAAAGAGACUGUCAAUGUUCAGACUGAACCCUUAACUGACGCCUGAGCUGGGAAAAUAGAUUCAAGUUGUUCAAUCUAGUAGCGCCAUCUAUUGACUACAGAAAGUAUAGCAACAAGUAAUGUCUAUUUUAAUGGUCGUGUCUGUCAGAACCAAAUUCCAUCCUUCCUUUGGUUUGUUACCUAUUGUCUUAACCUUUACCAGUAUGUAUGGAGGGGUAGAAGAUGGUGGCCUGUAUCACAUCCUCACCUAACUGAGGUUUAUUUCAAUCAAUGAAGAGAGGUAAUAUGGUGUCAGUGAAUCAAGUCUUGUCAUUUAGAUAGAGCCUCAGCAAGAGAACAGAGACAUGUUACUGAAGAAAGAGAGUAGUGUUCAUCAGAUGAAAUGUUCGGGGGGGUUUUUCACCAUCUCCUGGCAGAAUUGUGGUCAAAUCAUGUUCUAUGUGCCAUAUACAGAGGCUUUCAUCAUGGGGUCUGUCCAACACAGCGAUAAGAGUUGGAGAGGUUUUAUUAGUGAAGGAUACCGUGGUCAGUCAGAGAGGUUUUAUUAGUGAAGGAUACCGUGGUCAGUUGGAGAGGUUUCAUUAGUGAAGGAUACCGUGGUCAGUUGGAGAGGUUUUAUUAGUGAAGGAUACCGUGGUCAGUCAGAGAGGUUUUAUUAGUGAAGGAUACCGUGGUCAGUCGGAGAGGUUUUAUUAGUGAAGGAUACCAUGGUCAGUCAGAGAGGUUUCAUUAGUGAAGGAUACCGUGGUCAGUUGGAGAGGUUUUAUUAGUGAAGGAUACCAUGGUCAGUCGGAGAGGUUUUUCAUUAGUGAAGGAUACCGUGGUCAGUCAGAGAGGUUUCAUUAGUGAAGGAUACCGUGGUCAGUUGGAGAGGUUUUAUUAGUGAAGGAUACCGUUUUAUUAGUGAAUGAUACCGUGGUCAGUCGGAGAGGUUUUAUUAGUGAAGGAUACCGUGGUCAGUCAGAGAGGUUUCAUUAGUGAAGGAUACCGUGGUCAGUCGGAGAGGUUUUAUUAGUGAAGGAUACCGUGGUCAGUCAGAGAGGUUUCAUUAGUGAAGGAUACCGUGGUCAGUCGGAGAGGUUUCAUUAGUGAAGGAUACCGUGGUCAGUCGGAGAGGUUUUCCUCCCUUGUUUUCUUCUCCUCCUUUCUGCCAUUUUCACACUCAGUCCAUCUCACCACAUCUCUAGCAUGACAGUAGACUCUCCAAAGCACUGCAGUCAAACUGCAAGUCUCAAAACUAAAUGAAAGUAACUUCAGCCAUAACCGAAUGUCAAGCAGUAAUGAUAUCAAUGUUGGAUUUUUUUUUAUCUUGUGUAUGGUCUCAAAUAUUGCAUGUCGAUAAAUUCUAAUGUAUCACACUUGACUUUUAUUUUUUUUGUUCUCUUCUAUAUUCUGAAUUCUGUGUUUUAUUGUUUCACCUUCAUGUAUGACUAGUUCUGUUCUCUGCUUCUGCUUAAACUCACCGGAUGGAAUUACCUAUAGAUUCUGUCUAUACAACAUACUGCUUAUAGAUUCUGUCUAUACAGACCAAGUGAGAGCAACAUACUGCUUAUAGAUUCUGUCUAUACAACAUACUGCUAUAGAUUCUGUCUAUACAACAUACUGCUCAUAGAUUCUGUCUAUACAACAUACUGCUAUAGAUUCUGUCUAUACAACAUACUGCUAUAGAUUCUGUCUAUACAACAUACUGCUAUAGAUUCUGUCUAUACAACAUACUGCUAUAGAUUCUGUCUAUACAACAUACUGCUAUAGAUUCUGUCUAUA